ACGCUCGACACCUACGGAGGCAGCAGUUGGGAAUAUUGGACAAUGGAGGAAACUCUGAUCCAGUGACGCCGCGUGAAGGAAGAAGGUCUUCGGAUUGUAAACUUAUUUUGUCAGGGAAGAAAAAAUGACUGUACCUGAAGAAAAAGCACCGGCUAACUACGUGCCAGCAGCCGCGGUAAUCUGAGCGGGCUGGCAAGGC
This 199-nucleotide ribosomal RNA is filed under the name uncultured bacterium. RNAcentral describes it as "partial 16S ribosomal RNA". It matches the Rfam family "Bacterial small subunit ribosomal RNA", at positions 328 to 539 of the family's 1533-position model. The record is from RNAcentral.